RNAcentral lists this long non-coding RNA (483 nucleotides) under Zostera marina. Its description in RNAcentral is "long non-coding RNA (ZMAR_LNC001224)". The record is from RNAcentral. Lineage: Eukaryota; Viridiplantae; Streptophyta; Magnoliopsida; Alismatales; Zosteraceae.
AAUAUAGUCUACAAACCCCAUUUAUACUACAAGACUCAUAACUACUAUUAUAACUACUUUAUUUAACUAAUUAACUGACUCUAACAUUCUCAUUCAUACUCCUCCUCAAGGUGAAGGGAGCUUGCAAACUAAACCUUGCACACUAAACAACAUUCUUCUUGUACGAUUGCUCUUGAUAAGCUUUUAAAUUCCUCAAAUUUUUCCAGCUUUUCUGCUCCAACUUGGAUUGCCACAUGAUAUGUAAAUGACCUAAACCAGGGGAGAAAAACCUAGAUGGGAUCCAUAUUUUUGCUCCUCUUAUUCUUUUACUUGACUAGGAAAACCCUUCCUUUAGAUCAUCUACAUUCAAUCUAAGCCUUGGAUUGUUGCAGCCAACACAUCCAAUAUCCAAGUUACUUGUUUCUUGCACUUUAUUACCUGCAUACAAACAAAUACAACAUACAUGCAUCCUGCAUAAACACAACACACAUUCUGCAAACAUAC